RNAcentral lists this ribosomal RNA (777 nucleotides) under uncultured Neocallimastigales. Its description in RNAcentral is "partial large subunit ribosomal RNA". It matches the Rfam family "Eukaryotic large subunit ribosomal RNA", at positions 24 to 644 of the family's 3401-position model. The record is from RNAcentral. Lineage: Eukaryota; Fungi; Neocallimastigomycota; Neocallimastigomycetes; Neocallimastigales.
UAUCUCUGUAGAGUCUGCAUAUCAAUAAGCGGAGGAAAAGAAACUAACAAGGAUUCCCUUAGUAACGGCGAGUGAAGCGGGAAGAGCUCAAAUUUGAAAUCUUCAAGGUUCUACCUUGACGAAUUGUAGUUUAAAGAAGUGUUUUCUGUUAGAUGAGUAGCAAAAGUUCCUUGGAAUGGGACAUCAUAGAGGGUGAGAAUCCCGUAUUUGGUUAUUCAUUCUAGCUUUGUGAUACACUUUCAAAGAGUCGGAUUGUUUGGGAAUGCAGUCCAAAAUGGGUGGUAAAUCUCAUCUAAAGCUAAAUAUUGGCGAGAGACCGAUAGCGAACAAGUACCGUGAGGGAAAGAUGAAAAGAACUUUGAAAAGAGAGUUAAACAGUACGUGAAAUUGUCAAAAGGGAAGCGUUUGACACCAGUGUUGUUUUUCCGAAAAUCAAUUACGAAUGGCUUGAUUUUGUGUUGUAUUGACCUUAUCAGCUUUCUUCACUUUUUUCGAGUCUUUCUUAAUGCACUUUUUCGGUUAACAAGUCAACAUCAAUUUCUUUUGUUGUAAAAGAGUAUUCGGAAGGUGGCUUUCUUUUCGGAGAAAGUGUUUAUAGCCCUAUACUUCUACAAUCGGAGAGAUUGAGGUCUGCAGCGUAGAUCCUUCGGGGUUAGAUACACUUGUGCUAAGUUGUAGCUUUCUCAUAGACAACUUGUUGACUAUGUUUAGUCAUGCGGCUUACUCGCUUAGUGCUAUUUUACCUACGCUUAGGAUGUUGACUGAUAUGUAGUCGUA